Dermochelys coriacea (leatherback sea turtle) is the source of this 2360-nucleotide long non-coding RNA. RefSeq lists it as uncharacterized. The record is from RefSeq and is a predicted model, not a curated record. Lineage: Eukaryota; Metazoa; Chordata; Testudines; Dermochelyidae. The transcript is spliced from 3 exons.
GAAUAGAAAAGAGAUUUAGGUUUGCAAAGUAUCUAGCUGCCUUUCUUACUCUCCGAAACUCCUGCACAGAAGGAAUUUCUUUCCGUAGACACAGAGUUGAGUGUCAUGCUGUUUGAAGGGAAGAACACAUUAACAGAGUAGGUGAAAGUAUCUUUGUAAAAGCAAUCCCAUAGUUCUAACUGGCUGCAUUUUAGCAGAGUGACCUUACCGACAGAGCAUAUAACAUAACUCAGCCCUACAGCCAUUACAGUCCAAGGACAAGCUCAGGAGCCUGGCAGUGGAAAAUCAUGGCUUUCACAUCCAGUAUAGAUUGCUGGUUUCCCAUCCAGCCCAUAUGAGUCAUUGUGUAAAUUUUCUAGUAUCUGAGAUUUGUUUUGUGAGCUGUGAGACAUGAGUGGGUUUCAGGCCAUUUCCAAGUGGCCAUGUAUUUAAUAACACGACUAUGCAAUAUGUGGUACCCUUCUCUGAUCUCAGUAGAAAGGCCAAAGACGAUAAACUCCCCUCACUUUGAGAGGUAAUGUCUUCAUAGGCAAGCAUGGCAUACAUUAGUAGGGUGAGGUAACUAUCACUGCUGUUGUCUGUAUUGUCCCUGUUCUUAGGAUAUAUAAAGGACAUCAGUAUCCAGGACUGUCAGUAUUCAUAAGCAUAAACUCCUGUUAAGAUUACUGGUUUUGUUCCCUUGUACACCAGUCUAAACCAAGAGCAAUUCUACGGGGCCAACCUUUAUCACCCACUUGUUAAAUUUUCAAACAGCUACCUUUGUGCUUUCUCCCCAUGCUGUCCCUCCUACUUUGGGAGGAGGCCCCCAAUCAAAUCUGCAAAAUUCAAGAUUUCAACAUUUGUUUUUGUCACAAUUAAGGGUGAAAAGAUAAUCUCCAAGUUUUUUGGGGGGAGGAGGUUGUUGGAAUGAAGUAUUCUGAAAUAUUUUCUUUCAGAAACAUUGAUCCUAUUAUUUAUAUUGCAUUAUAACAUUGAUUAUUGCGAUGUAGUACAAAAAAGUCAAAAAACCUCAUCAAAAUGUAACAUUUUGAAAUUUUUCCAUCAAAAUCUACACAUUCCCACAAAACAUUUAGCUUUCCAUGAGACAGCAUUUUCCAAUGGAAAACUGUUCAGUCAAAACAUUUUCUACCAUCUCUAGCUGUGACCACUGUCUGUCAUGCUGAGUAGUAUUAUCUCAUUCUUUCUUCAUGUUCCCAUGUCCGUAUCUACUCAUUGGCUCUUAUAUUGUAGGUUCUUUGGGAAAUGGACUGACUUUUUGUUCUUUGUUUGUACAGCACCUAGCACAACAAGGUUCUGGUUUGUGAUGGGCACUCCUAGGUGCUACCUCAAUACAAAUGCACUAAUCUGGACACAUAGGCAGAGCUCUUAGGAAUGUUCAGUAUACAGAUUACCAAAGCAUCACAGUUUCAUAGCCAUAGCACCACAAAGCAGAAGGAGGAGAGCACCCGUGGGUUAUUAGGUCAGCACAGGAGGGAUGUCCCAUGAAAUCAGAGAAAGUGUCUAGAAAUGACUGACACUGAACUGUUUCAAAGUCAUCUUUUGUCUCCCUGGUUUAUCCCAUAUUUGGUCAAGCAAAGUGAGGCCCUGCACCCAAUUUGAGAGCAUUUCUCUGUUUGUUUGUCGCACCUGAAAAGUUCUGUGGAGCUGGAAAGCUUUUCUCUUUCACUAAUAAAAGUUGAUCCAAUAAAAUAUAUCACCUCAUCCAUCUUGUCUCUAUUAUGUAACAGUCAUAUACGUUAAUUUGUUCCUUGUUUGACCAGAGUACCAAUAUUGCUUUAUAUUCUAUAAAUAUCUAAGGCCUGCUUCUGUGCUGUUAUCCUGAUGUCAAUCUUGAAAUCAUUCCACUGAUGUAAUACAAAUGCAAAUCAAAAUAGAAUCAUGCCCCUAGGGAGUCAUUUCUAAAUGGAGAUCAGGUGAAGGAAGCAGACUCACCUGCUGUGAUUCAGCAAUGCCAUAUCUCAUCAUAGUGGCAAGAUGUUCACAGUUAGACAUAACUAGAUUGUAGUCUAUAUUCUUCCCCACCAGGUGCUCAGCUCUCUUUACCACAUGAGGAAGAGGUAAUGGAGGGUGCUUUUUAUCUAAUUGGUUGUUUACAGCAUAGCUUGAAACACGAGCCACGUUCCUCAGAUGCUCCUUUUGCACUUUGGCUUUGAAGAAUUCUCCAUUAAGCAUAUUAUUCAAUCCCUCUUCCAACUCUUAAAAAAAAAAAAAAAGACAGCCAAUGAGAGGUGAAAGAGGGUUGGCAGUUUGCCCAGGGCAAGUGUCAGAUCUGACAGGAAUGACUAGAUCCUCGCAAAUAAGUGAUUUUUUUUUUGGUUCAGUACUGAACUGGAGGGAAAAAAUCCCCCCCAAAAAAGUUU